UGGGGAAAUUGUUAUAAUUUUUCUUUCCUAUGUCUCGGUUUCUUUUUUCCCUAUGAGUUUUCCAUAAUUCAGCACUUCUCAUGGUCGGGAAAAAUUGUUGGAAUUGGUCAAUUCUCAGAUUCUGGAGACAAUUUGAAAUUUGUUGUCUCUGCCAAUGUUCCGAUUGGAGAGGUUGAAUUUCUCAUGAUUUCUUUCCAUUGAUAGCUUUCGUCCCAUGCUCUUAUCAUGAAUUAGGUUAAAUGGCAGUAUGAUUCGUGCUUCCCCAAGUAUCCGACAUGAGUAAUCCUUCCAC
Molecule: long non-coding RNA, 292 nt
Filed under: Elaeis guineensis (African oil palm)
Lineage: Eukaryota; Viridiplantae; Streptophyta; Magnoliopsida; Arecales; Arecaceae
Description: long non-coding RNA (EGUI_LNC081817)
Source: RNAcentral